GGGGGAUUUUGGUUGUCGCUGCUAACGAUGAUUGGGGUUUUAUUAGCUCGUCCCUCU
RNAcentral lists this transfer RNA (57 nucleotides) under Echinochasmus japonicus. RNAcentral's name for it is "tRNA-Ser". Lineage: Eukaryota; Metazoa; Platyhelminthes; Trematoda; Plagiorchiida; Echinochasmidae. The record is from RNAcentral.